Molecule: ribosomal RNA, 430 nt
Filed under: uncultured bacterium
Lineage: Bacteria
Description: bacterial SSU rRNA
Rfam family: Bacterial small subunit ribosomal RNA
Source: RNAcentral
UGAGGAAUCUUGCGCAAUGGGGGAAACCCUGACGCAGCAACGCCGCGUGAGUGAGGAAGGUCUUCGGAUUGUAAAGCUCUGUCAGGUGGAAAGAAGUGCAUGGGGGUUAAGAGCUGCCAUGUUUGACGGUACCACCAAAGGAAGCACCGGCUAACUCCGUGCCAGCAGCCGCGGUAAUACGGGGGGUGCAAGCGUUGUUCGGAAUCAUUGGGCGUAAAGAGCGUGUAGGCGGCGUAAUAAGUCAGAUGUGAAAGCCCUGGGCUCAACCUAGGAAGUGCAUUUGAAACUGUUAAGCUAGAGUAGGGGAGAGGGAAGUGGAAUUCCUGGUGUAGAGGUGAAAUUCGUAGAUAUCAGGAGGAACACCGGUGGCGAAGGCGACUUCCUGGCCCCAUACUGACGCUGAGACGCGAGAGCGUGGGUAGCAAACAGG